RNAcentral lists this long non-coding RNA (727 nucleotides) under Zalophus californianus (California sea lion). RNAcentral describes it as "lncRNA (ENSZCAG00015013254.1)". The record is from RNAcentral. Lineage: Eukaryota; Metazoa; Chordata; Mammalia; Carnivora; Otariidae.
UGGGGUAAAAUGUCGGCUUAGCCAGCCCUUGCUUGUGUACUUGCUGGGCGCCAAAAGACCAGGGGAUCAGAUCGAACCUCGAGAAUGUAUGGGGAGAACCACCAAGACGCAGACCAUGCAGGCGCGCACCCAGGGCCCCAGCGCACGGACUCCCAGCAUGCCCCGGGAAGCAGGCCGGCGGCAGGUGCGCACGCGCGAGGGCGCAUUUGGACGCUCUGACGUCACCGGCACGCGCCGACCUCCCGCCCUGGCGCGCUUCCCCCCGCCCCCGCCACUCCUCUUCCCUCUGUACCCCGCUCCCCCUGCUCCUGCACCCCGCGCUCCAGUGUCGUUUCAAGAGCGCGCAUUUAUCCCGGGCAGCAUGGCCGCAGGAGCGCCCGGCGCGCGUCCACAGGCGGGCGCCGCCUCACAUGGACCCGCUCGCCCCACGACCCCCGUGUAGACAGGAGGUGCGGCUCCCACAGCGACAGGUCACAGGAACACUCGCUGGCCGGCCGUUCCAGCCAGCCUCGCGCUGCCAGCCUCGGGCUGGGGGACCCCACACCAAGCAUCAGCACCAUGAAAGAGGACCUAGAGACCCUGCUGGCCUUGGAACGGGCCAACAUCAUAGCCAAAUACACUCAGGUGAGGCCCAGAGAGGGACCAUCGACACUAGGAGCACCCACUGCAGAGGUGGGGCCCAGAGCCUGCAGGCACAGGGGAGGCCCAGGUGGGCCCAGAGCCAAGG